AUUUUGGACUGAUCUAUUUGAAAAUCCAUAAACUCGUUUAUAUUAUGAAGAGGUGGGUUCAUGAUUUUUUGUAGAAUUUUCACAAGGUUCCUUCUCCCUCCUGAUGUGAAAAAACAGAUGAGAAGCGAGCGUAAGAUUCAAAUUUCGCGCGGUUCCUGCCUACUGAGUACUGAAGCACGUCAUGAGAAUGGAAUUUCGCCAUUCUAUUGGCCGGUUUCGGAAGGGACUCAUGUAUACAGACUCUAUCAAAAUUCAAUUCAUAGUUCAUACAACGCAGCUCCUUCACAUCAGUUUGAAUUCAUUAUAGCGUUCGGAAUCACGGCGCCUGGAGUCUAUUAUUUACUUAACAAAUUCCUUUUAGGCUAGACUGGCAGUGAUAAACUGGCGGGUUGGCGGGUUCCAAUAUUUAUAGUUGGCUAGUUUGCAGUUAGUACUUGAACUGUAUGUUAGUGCACGGAGCUUUUCCUUUGUUUUCCCUUUCUUUGAAUAGUUUUAGUUUUAAUCUUUCUUUCGUUCUUUCUCUCUUACGUUCUAGCUUUAUAAUACGUUAUAGGUACAUACAUAAAGACCUACAUUUUUAUUAUAAAACUCAAUUAUAAUUAUAGCAAGACGAACAUCACCAGCAUGUUUCAAUUUUCAAUGCGAGAACUGUGAUGCCAUAAUGGCAGAAGCCACUUUCUUGUCUACAUCUCAAAUAAUAGAAAUUGCACGGGCGUGAAAUCUACGUACAGCAGUGAUGAGAUUCUGGAAUUCCAUUGUCUGCAAUGUCUACUCCUAUAAUUGAAGAGCAGAUGGAAGAAGCUGUAGUUUUGCAAAAUUUCAUGAUCGAUGAUGAUGCUGAUGAUUAUGAGAAUUCUCAAUUUCAACAACUUCCGGCCACUUCCUCCUUCAACGAUAAACUGUCGGUUCCUGCUGCCUAGAACCAUAGAUGAAGGAUAAUAUUUAUAUUUCUUGUCUCUGCUAGAACGUAGUGGUCAUUUUAUAAUCACUUCUUCCAUUACCAACACACAAGCCAAGGGCUCAUGUGGGUAUCACACUCCAAAAAUAAUAUUUCGACACUGCAGUAUUUCAGCACUUGUUUAUAAUAAACAAUGACGAUUUUCUAAGAGAAGGAUAGUUUGAAAAAAAUCCUAGUAUAGCACAAAAUAACACCAAACAUAUUUUUUGCAGGCUUCAAAUAGAUUGAAUUAAGUUAUUUUCAAUGAGAGCAUUUAUUCAAAGGAGAGGAGCACAGAGGUGCGUGAAGCUACCUCGUUGUGAAGAACAGACCGUUGGGUGUGUACUUCAGCGACUCGAGUGACAGUUUGUAUUGUAGCUCACAGGACUCUAAUAUUUUGUUAUUGACCAAGGAGCUCAGCAAAUCUGACAAUGAGUGUACUGAGGCUACAGACCGUUAGGUGUGUGUCAUAACCCCCCAUGGGCAAUUCUCCUGUCGAAUAAUGUUGUAGAAAUUCACUUAGACCGCGGGACUAUAUUUUAUUAUAGAACUAUUGGACUAUUGUGAAUUUCAACAUUUCUACAUGAAAAUAAUCUUUCUUCACUUUGAGCCUACAAAUUAAAAUGAAUUACAUAUUUAAAUUCAAGUGCAAUUAUAUUCUCUUUUCCAUAGUUAUUGUCUUGUUUAGAAUUCACAAUAAUUUUAUUCCACCGAAAUAUAUAUAUAUAUAUUAUAUUAAUUCUAAACAUAAAUAAAUUUUAAUAUUCAUAUAUAAUAUUACUCAUAAUAACCAAUAUGAGAGAAAUGUAGAUUCAAUUAUAUAUUUUCAAUUCUAAACAUCCAAAAUCAAAACGGAGUUUUCAUCAGUCAAAAGCUUGUCAGUUUUAUUUUUUAUAAUAAUAGUUUACAACAUACAAUAUAAUUAUGGUAAUAUUCAGUCAAAAUUCUGAAUGUGAAUCUUGUUGCUUCGUUUUUCAAUAGAAGAAUACUAUCAAUUAUUAUUUAUAAUAUUAGAAUUAUGAAUAAUAAUAAUCAUUAUUGAUAAAAUCUUAAACAUUUUAUUGAAUAAAUUGAAAUUAAUGGGGUUUAUUAAAAUUUAUUUUCAUUGGUGUCAACGUUCUAAAAAUAAAGGUGGACCAAUAACGGUAUUGUCAGUUCCACAUAAUUUAUUUUAGCCAAACUUGAAGUUUCAAUGCACUAGGGCAUCAUCUUCAGUGGUAUUUUUCUCAAAGAAAUAUCUAAAAGACCACUCACUGAAGAUGAUGCCUUGAAACUCAAGUUUGGCUCAAAUAAAUUAUGUGAAACGGACAAUAUCGUUUUUAUUCCACCUCAAUAUGGAGAAAUUCCACAAUAUCUCUGUUCAUAGUGUAUAAGAGAUUUUUCAAUGUUUACAUGAGUAUAAUUAAUUGUAGAUUUAAGUGAAAUUUUUAUUAUUUUUGGCGAUUGUGAAGGAAGAUUUUUGUUUUGAUUUGUAUUUUGAAAUUAAUUAAUCUGAUAAAUUCAAAAUUGUAGAAGAUACAUUUUUUUGGACUCAAAAUAGUGUGUGAAUUAAGUUAUAAUUUUUACAAAACCUCUAGACUAUGUAUUCCAAAUUGAGGUUUAGAGCAGUUUUGGGCGAAUGCCUGUUGUUUUUACCUGGAUUGUAUUUGUAUA
Nilaparvata lugens (brown planthopper) is the source of this 2590-nucleotide long non-coding RNA. RefSeq lists it as uncharacterized. The record is from RefSeq and is a predicted model, not a curated record. The transcript has 3 exons. NCBI's taxonomy places the organism in Eukaryota, Metazoa, Arthropoda, Insecta, Hemiptera, Delphacidae.